GAUGAACGCUGGCGGCGUGCCUAAUACAUGCAAGUCGAGCGAACAGAUGAGAAGCUUGCUUCUCUGAUGUUAGCGGCGGACGGGUGAGUAACACGUGGGUAACCUACCUAUAAGACUGGGAUAACUCCGGGAAACCGGGGCUAAUACCGGAUAAUAUUUUGAACCGCAUGGUUCAAUAGUGAAAGACGGUUUCGGCUGUCACUUAUAGAUGGACUCGCGCCGUAUUAGCUAGUUGGUAAGGUAACGGCUUACCAAGGCGACGAUACGUAGCCGACCUGAGAGGGUGAUCGGCCACACUGGAACUGAGACACGGUCCAGACUCCUACGGGAGGCAGUAGUAGGGAAUCUUCCGCAAUGGGCGAAAGCCUGACGGAGCAACGCCGCGUGAGUGAUGAAGGUCUUCGGAUCGUAAAACUCUGUUGUUAGGGAAGAACAAAUUUGUUAGUAACUGAACAAGUCUUGACGGUACCUAACCAGAAAGCCACGGCUAACUACGUGCCAGCAGCCGCAGUAA
RNAcentral lists this ribosomal RNA (514 nucleotides) under uncultured bacterium. RNAcentral describes it as "partial 16S ribosomal RNA". It matches the Rfam family "Bacterial small subunit ribosomal RNA", at positions 28 to 523 of the family's 1533-position model. The record is from RNAcentral.